Molecule: transfer RNA, 84 nt
Rfam family: tRNA
About the family: Transfer RNA (tRNA) molecules are approximately 80 nucleotides in length. Their secondary structure includes four short double-helical elements and three loops (D, anti-codon, and T loops).
Source: Rfam
GGCCCCCUGGUGGAAGUGGUAGACACAGCAGACUUAAAAUCUGCGGCCGAAUGAGGCGUGCCGGUUCAAGUCCGGCGGGGGCCA